This 297-nucleotide ribosomal RNA is filed under the name Klebsiella pneumoniae. RNAcentral describes it as "partial 23S ribosomal RNA". It matches the Rfam family "Bacterial large subunit ribosomal RNA", at positions 862 to 1156 of the family's 2925-position model. Lineage: Bacteria; Pseudomonadati; Pseudomonadota; Gammaproteobacteria; Enterobacterales; Enterobacteriaceae. The record is from RNAcentral.
AAAGCUAUUUAGGUAGCGGCUCGUGAACGCAUCUUCGGGGGUAGAGCACGGUUUCGGCUAGGGGGUCAUCCCGACUUACCAACCCGAUGCAAACUACGAAGACCGAAGAAUGUUAUCACGGGAGACACACGGCGGGUGCUAACGUCCGUCGUGAAGAGGGAAACAACCCAGCCCGCCAGCUAAGGUCCCAAAGUCAUGGUCAAGUGGGAAACGAUGUGGGAAGGCAAAGACAGCCAGGAUGUUGGCUUAGAAGCAGCCAUCAUUUAAAGAAAGCGUAAUAGCUCACUGGUCGAGUCG